CUACGGGUCGCUGCAGUGGGGAAUAUUGCACAAUGGGCGCAAGCCUGAUGCAGCCAUGCCGCGUGUAUGAAGAAGGCCUUCGGGUUGUAAAGUACUUUCAGCGGGGAGGAAGGGAGUAAAGUUAAUACCUUUGCUCAUUGACGUUACCCGCAGAAGAAGCACCGGCUAACUCCGUGCCAGCAGCCGCGGUAAUACGGAGGGUGCAAGCGUUAAUCGGAAUUACUGGGCGUAAAGCGCACGCAGGCGGUUUGUUAAGUCAGAUGUGAAAUCCCCGGGCUCAACCUGGGAACUGCAUCUGAUACUGGCGAGCUUGAGUCUCGUAGAGGGGGGUAGAAUUCCAGGUGUAGCGGUGAAGUGCGUAGAGAUCUGGAGGAAUACCGGUGGCGAAGGCGGCCCCCUGGACGAAGACUGACGCUCAGGUGCGAAAGCGUGGGGAGCAAACAGGAUUAGAUACCCUUGUAGUC
This 464-nucleotide ribosomal RNA is filed under the name uncultured bacterium. Its description in RNAcentral is "partial 16S ribosomal RNA". It matches the Rfam family "Bacterial small subunit ribosomal RNA", at positions 339 to 795 of the family's 1533-position model. The record is from RNAcentral.